Molecule: small nuclear RNA, 103 nt
Organism: Antechinus flavipes (yellow-footed antechinus)
Lineage: Eukaryota; Metazoa; Chordata; Mammalia; Dasyuromorphia; Dasyuridae
Source: RefSeq, a predicted model, not a curated record
GUGCUCACUUCAGUAGCACAUAUACUAAAAUUGGAACAAAACAGAGAAUAUUAGCAAUAUGAGCAAGAAUGACACUCAAAUUCAUGAAAUAUCCAUAUUUUUA